RNAcentral lists this ribosomal RNA (518 nucleotides) under uncultured bacterium. RNAcentral's name for it is "bacterial SSU rRNA". It matches the Rfam family "Bacterial small subunit ribosomal RNA", at positions 791 to 1329 of the family's 1533-position model. The record is from RNAcentral.
UAGUCCACGCCGUAAACGAUGAGUACUAGUUAUUAGAGGUAUUGACCCCUUUAGUGACGCAGCUAACGCAUUAAGUACUCCGCCUGGGAAGUACGGUCGCAAGACUAAAACUCAAAGGAAUUGACGGGGGCCCGCACAAGCGGUGGAUUAUGUGGUUUAAUUCGAAGCAACGCGCAAAACCUUACCUAGGCUUGAAAUCCUACGAAUCUGGUGUAAUGACCGGAGUGCUCGCAAGAGAACGUAGUGACAGGUGCUGCAUGGCUGUCGUCAGCUCGUGUUGUGAAAUGUUGGGUUAAGUCCCGCAACGAGCGCAACCCUCGCCUUUAGUUGCCAUCAUUUAGUUGGGCACUCUAGAGGAACCGCCGGUGAUAAGCCGGAGGAAGGUGGGGAUGACGUCAAGUCCUCAUGGCCCUUACGGGUAGGGCUACACACGUGCUACAAUGGCAGUGACAAUGGGUUAAUCCCUAAAAACUGUCUCAGUUCGGAUUGUUCUCUGCAACUCGAGAGCAUGAAGUUGG